This 410-nucleotide ribosomal RNA is filed under the name Verrucomicrobiota bacterium. RNAcentral describes it as "Verrucomicrobia bacterium partial 16S ribosomal RNA". It matches the Rfam family "Bacterial small subunit ribosomal RNA", at positions 355 to 776 of the family's 1533-position model. Lineage: Bacteria; Pseudomonadati; Verrucomicrobiota. The record is from RNAcentral.
UGGGGAAUCUUGCACAAUGGGCGAAAGCCUGAUGCAGCGACGCCGCGUGCGGGAUGAAGGCCUUCGGGUUGUAAACCGCUUUCAGCAGGGACGAGGCCGCAAGGUGACGGUACCUGCAGAAGAAGCCCCGGCUAACUACGUGCCAGCAGCCGCGGUAAUACGUAGGGGGCAAGUGUUAUCCGGAUUCAUUGGGCGUAAAGCGCGCGUAGGCGGUUUGUUAGGUCAGGAGUUAAAUCUGGGGGCUAAACCACUAUCCGCACCUGAUCCCGGCAGGCUUGAGUCUGGUAGGGGAAGGCGGAAUUCCAAGUGUAGCGGUGAAAUGCGCAGAUAUUUGGAAGAACACCGGUGGCGAAGGCGGCCUUCUGGGCCACGACUGACGCUGAGGCGCGAAAGCUAGGGGAGCGAACAGG